AGACGUCAUAAUUCAUGGCAGCCACUUAAACUGAACUAUUGUUCCCAGGGUUUGUACUUCACAGUCCUGGUCCCUUGGUGGUAGUUCAUUAGAGAAAAGAUAACUCAAACUCAGCCAAUCAGAUUAUCCCUCUUGUUGGAACUGAGACUGAUGGACUCUAUGUCAGCAUCAGGGCUCAUUUUUUACACAGAUGAGUUGGGAGCUGGGAGCAGCCUCUUGCAUUAUCACGUGAACCGAGACGCAGAGAAAGCCAAUCCUACAAGAAAUAAGAAUUAAACACAUCCAAGCAGAGACUAGGAAAUAGAUGAAGCACCUCUGGGUCCAUGAUGGUUUUGCCAACACUGCCUGAUGGUUUUCAC
RNAcentral lists this long non-coding RNA (359 nucleotides) under Bos taurus (domestic cattle). Its description in RNAcentral is "long non-coding RNA NONBTAT007062". Lineage: Eukaryota; Metazoa; Chordata; Mammalia; Artiodactyla; Bovidae. The record is from RNAcentral.